RNAcentral lists this ribosomal RNA (253 nucleotides) under uncultured bacterium. Its description in RNAcentral is "partial small subunit ribosomal RNA". It matches the Rfam family "Bacterial small subunit ribosomal RNA", at positions 26 to 285 of the family's 1533-position model. The record is from RNAcentral.
AGGACGAACGCUGGCGGCGUGCUUAACACAUGCAAGUCGAGCGGAAAGGCCCUUCGGGGUACUCGAGCGGCGAACGGGUGAGUAACACGUGAGUAAUCUGCCCCUAGCUCUGGGAUAGCUCCGGGAAACCGGGAUUAAUACCGGAUACGACCACUACGGACAUCUGUGGUGGUGGAAAGAACUUCGGCUAGGGGUGAGCUCGCGGCCCAUCAGCUUGUUGGUGGGGUAACGCCUACCAAGGCGACGACGGGUA